Molecule: long non-coding RNA, 3706 nt
Organism: Cervus elaphus (red deer)
Lineage: Eukaryota; Metazoa; Chordata; Mammalia; Artiodactyla; Cervidae
Exons: 2
Source: RefSeq, a predicted model, not a curated record
AAGAACUGCUAGGAGACGGACAUUACUGUAGGAAAAGCUCUGCUCCUCUAAUCUCUUCGUACUGAAACAGACUUUCCAGCGGUUAUUCCCGGUAGGAACGGCGAUCGCAACCGUGCCAGAGGUGAUUUUUUUGAGAAGCCAAACUGUUGGCGGCGACCUGAGCGCUGGAAGCCGCAGGGAGGAAAAAGGACACGCGAAGCGCCGGCGGCCGAGCAGGGAGGCCGGCACAAAGGAGGAGGACUCGCGGCGGCAGCGUCUGCCCACGCCGGGGGAAGCACGGCCCGCGGCCCUGCUAGACCGAAGUCCCGCACUGGCGGCUACGAAUAAAGUUUACGUUCUCCUGAGACCGCACUCCCCACCUCCCACCCAGGACCGCGCAUCUCCGCGUCCUCCUCCCCCAAACUGCAAUCGGGACCCCGAGCACCACCCCAGCCUUCCAGCCAGCACAACAAAGAGACACACCGACCGGCGAGGGUAAACAGCCGCGGCCGGGCGGGCAGGGCGGGCAGGGCAAGCGCCUCCAGAUAAGCAACUCCGGAGUCUAACCCACUCGCUGGAGCGCAGUUUCUUCUCUUUUUCGGUUUCAAACGGCUUUACAAUAUUUGGAAUUUUCAUCUUCACCCGCACCCCUCACACCCGAGGAUUUUAAACUCACCUUUACUUUCGAACUGAGAGUUGCGGUGGAUGGGAUUUUUGCCUUCCCCAGAUGGUUAAAGGUUACGAUUUUUGUUUUGGAAACCCCACCACCUCCUUAUUUCUAUUAUUAUUUUUGCAAGAAAAGUAUAAGGAGAGUUGGAGUGGAGGUGAGAUUUGUGAUCGGCAAAGCCCUGGACGCCCUCCUUCUCCGUCUUCCGCCUCUCUCUCUCUGAUUAGUUCCUAUCCAGCAGCAGAUUGAAGCAGGAGAUGAUUCUUCUCAAGGUUUGUUCAGCAGCUUCACUUCUAGGCGAAGGCUUCAUGAACCAAGUGACGUCAACCAACAAGGCUUCUCUCUCUCUCCUCUCUCUAACAAUGAAAGUUGCUGUUAACAAGGGAAAAAAGAGAGAGAAUUGUUUAUACCAUUUCAGUUCCAAUAAUAAAUGACCCAUCAGCUCUUAAAGUAGCCAGGGAGGGAGGGGGUGGCUUCUUCCUCCCAAGAAUCCUGUAGCUUUGAGUUUGCACCGAUUCUUGUUCCAGGAAAAAGUUAAGGAACUCUAAUGUUUUGUUUUACUUUUAAAAGUAGAGAAGACAGAAAAUAGGAUUGAAAACGUAAUUAAAAAAAAAAAAAAGUACACGGGCAAAUAGGGAGAGUAGAUUAACCAUGUCCACCUAAACUUUGUCUGUAAACUCAGAAUUUGGUUAAAAUCUAAAAGUCAACUAAAUGUAAUAUGUUUGGAACUCAAAAAGCAGUACGCAAAAUGGUCCCAGGAUAAAAUGCUACUGCCCUAACCCGGGCAGGUUAAGCUACUGUAAUGUUUAUGCACUGAGUUAAAAUUUAAAUAAAACGUUAAAAUAAUAAGUCGUUUUAAAGUUAUACGUUAAAACUGCAAAAGGUAACCUCAAUAGUCCCCCCACACACACACUUCUGAGAAGGCAAAAAAGGUGGGAGAGGAUAGCUAAUUGUAGGAAUUAGAGUACUUAAAAAAUCAAGUUAAGACUAGGUAGCCUAUUGCUCCAUCUUUAAAUUACACACGAGGUAUACUAUUUGUCUGCCCCACAAUUUCUUCUAACUUCCUAUUUUUUACCCUUCCAUUUUCCUCCACCAAUUUCAACAUCCUGAAACCAAUAAAGUUAAACUAAAGGUGAAGUACACCCCAUUCCCUCCUACAGCACACCACCCUGUAGUUUCCUUAAAAAAAAUUUUUUUUAAAAAGGCCUUAUCCUUGGUAACGCUUUAUUACCAAAGAAGAUAAUUUUUUUUUUUCAUUGAGGUAGUGUUUUACCCCUGGAACACAUUAAAAGUCCCAAAAGUUCAUAUAACUAAAAACGGCAUAAUUUAAUUUUCAGGAUGAAGAGUAAGUGAAAGGCAACCUAUAGAAAAAUAAUUUGACCAUAUAUGUAUAUUUUGUACAUGCAUAUGUGGAUAAAUGUAUCUUAAAAGAUGCUAUUGUUUUAUGUUUCCUCUUCAGCUACUGGCUGUGAUUUUAAUUGUGCUGGAGGAUCUUCAUUAGUAUUAACACAUGGGGAGAUUUCACAAAGCUGCUUCAUUAGGGGGAAAAAAAAAAGCUUGGCAGACUAGGUCUUUUUGCAUGCACUGAGAAUGUCAGCCUUACCUCGGUCAUUUGUAACAUAAUAAGUGCAAGUACAAUGAUUGCAAUGCAGGAGCACUGGGGGAAGGGCAGAAAUACUGCCUGUCUAAUAGGGAUAUCUGAAAAGAAGGCUGCUCAUUACAUAGUAAAAUGUAUGCUAAAAAUUAGUGAAGAUGAUGUCUCAGGAGACUGAUGCUAAAUAAAUUAAUGUGCUGAUAUGUUUUUAAUUAUUAUUUUUGUAAUAGUUUAUUUCAUUCUCAGGAUUCACAUUGAGCAGCAAAGCUGUGCUAGCACUUAUUGAUUUUUUUUCCCUGCCACAUUCCCGGAAUACAGAUUUUAAUCAUUUCACUACACCACACUCAGUAAUUUCAUUAAAAACUGGAACCUUCCAUCCCCAGAAAAGCAUUUAAUUUCAAUGACAUACAAUUCUGGUCUUAGCAGAAAACUGUCUCCACAGUAAAAGCUGGCCUAAGGUUCAAAUGCAUAAUUUAAUCCUGAGUUUUCCAUGCUCUGCAUUCCUUUGAAGCUAUAAUUUGAGUAACUACCUAAUAACUGUAAUAAGGAUAAUAAUUUCCUUAUAAUAUAUUAUUAACUCAUAUUUAAUUAACUCAAAGGCCAAGUUCUGUACAUGUAUGACUGGGUCAACAGUUCCACAAUAUCAAAAUUUACUAAUAAUGUUAAAGAAAAAUACAGAUUCCAGUAUAAGUGUGGAAAGCUAGCAUUUAGAUAUUACUUUAGCAAAGUAACAUGUAAAAAAGUUGAUGCAUUUUAUAUAAUAGAGGUCAUUACUCAAAACAGUAUUUCUAUGUGUAAAUAAAAUAUUUUAAUAUUUCAACAAUCCAUUUCAGACAUUUUGUCUAAUCAUUAGCAUUACUGCUGAAAAUAUUCAAUUUCGAAAAGAUAAAAAGAAAUAGCUAGAUUCAAAUUGUUUCAAUUUUCAUAUAAGAAUUCUCUUAAAACAUUUCUUUGCAAAUAAAGUUGUGGCACUCUUGAAUAACUUAGAUAACUAAGAAUGUUUCUUUUACUUACUUAAAUACUUUUAAAAUAGACUGCAAAGCAUAAUUCAAAGUUUGGUUCCAAUAAAAUGCUGAAAUAAUAAUACUGGCUUUGAAGAUGGCACACUGGCUUUCCAGACAAUGUUUCAUAAGAAUAUGUAAUUUACAUUGCCUAGUUUUUACAAAAAAGCACCUGUGGGGAAAACUGUUUAACAUAAGAAAACUUAUUUAGUAAUUAAAAUUCUUAAUAUAUGCCUAAUCAAUAGAAAAAAUGGUACACAGAUAAUGAAAGUGGCUAACUUAAAAAAAAAAGUGACUAACUUACAUAUAUAUGUAUAAUUUCAAGUUGAAGCCAUAUAUGACACAAAGUUUUUUUCUCUUGGUUGAAUAAUGAAGUAACUUAAAAUUAAGAGUAUCAUCAAAGGUUGGAAUAAAGGGUAAAUGUGGUAAUAAUAAAGAAUUUGAUUUUGGUGUGUUUAUAAAAAC